RNAcentral lists this ribosomal RNA (863 nucleotides) under uncultured Fusobacterium sp. RNAcentral describes it as "bacterial SSU rRNA". It matches the Rfam family "Bacterial small subunit ribosomal RNA". Lineage: Bacteria; Fusobacteriati; Fusobacteriota; Fusobacteriia; Fusobacteriales; Fusobacteriaceae. The record is from RNAcentral.
GACGAACGCUGGCGGCGUGCUUAACACAUGCAAGUCGAACGCUGAAGCUCAGCUUUUGUUGGGUGGAUGAGUGGCGAACGGGUGAGUAACACGUGAGUAACCUGCCCUCUUCUUUGGGAUAACGCCCGGAAACGGGUGCUAAUACUGGAUAUUCACUGAUCUUCGCAUGGGGGUUGGUGGAAAGGUUUGUUCUGGUGGGGGAUGGGCUCGCGGCCUAUCAGCUUGUUGGUGGGGUGAUGGCCUACCAAGGCUUUGACGGGUAGCCGGCCUGAGAGGGUGACCGGUCACAUUGGGACUGAGAUACGGCCCAGACUCCUACGGGAGGCAGCAGUGGGGAAUAUUGCACAAUGGGCGGAAGCCUGAUGCAGCGACGCCGCGUGAGGGAUGGAGGCCUUCGGGUUGUAAACCUCUUUCGCUCAUGGUCAAGCCGCAACUGUGGGUUGUGGUGAGGGUAGUGGGUAAAGAAGCGCCGGCUAACUACGUGCCAGCAGCCGCGGUAAUACGUAGGGGCGCGAGCGUUGUCCGGAAUUAUUGGGCGUAAAGGGCUUGUAGGCGGUUGGUCGCGUCUGCCGUGAAAUUCUCUGGCUUUACUGGGGGGCGUGCGGUGGGUUCGGGCUGACUUUGAGUGCGGUAGGGAGAGACUGAACUUCUGGUGUAUCGUGGAAUGUCAUAUAUCAGAAGAACACCGGGGGAAGGCGGGUCUCUGGGCCGUUACUGACACUAGAACCAAAGCUUGGGAGCAAACAAGAUAAUUACCUUAGUAGUCCAAGGUGAAUUCCACGGGGGUUUCAGCUUAUCCGUCCCCUCGUCUAGUGAGAAGUUCUCUUGUUAUAUAUUUUUAUUCCUUUAGUGAGGUUUAAUAA